Molecule: long non-coding RNA, 2548 nt
Filed under: Salmo salar (Atlantic salmon)
Lineage: Eukaryota; Metazoa; Chordata; Actinopteri; Salmoniformes; Salmonidae
Description: lncRNA (ENSSSAG00000096025.1, ENSSSAG00000112904.1)
Source: RNAcentral
UUUACAAUGAAUUGGCUUACGACCUACGAACACUACAGUGGGUAUUGUAGGCAGGUAACCAUGCCAAAAUGGUCUGUAUUUAUUAACAAAGCAAGAUAAAAAAAAAAAGACAUUGUAGCCAUGCAACAUAUGUGAUUAGCUAACAUUUAAAUUCCCAAGUAGCAUUGUAUUUUCUCUCGCUUCAGCUCAAAUAAUGGCCGCCAUUGAUUUUAAUAAAAUUUGUGUUAUGUUUUUUUUAUGAUUAUUAUUUUUAAAAUGUGUUUGUUUGCUUACAUCGAUGCAUGCUUCAAAAUAUGUACAUAUGGAGGACGCAUUCGAAAAGUGCCCUCCAUGCACUGUUUCACAUACUUUUGAUUUGGGACUCGUACCCACGACCCUCCCCCCUGCUACAAUUUGCCACGGUAUUAUGGAUUAUAGAUAAACACCCCAUUGAGUCAAACAUUUUUUUUUUUUUUUCAUUUUUUUUUUUUUGCCCAGUGGUUUUCCUGAUAAUUUUCAAGUAGAGUUAUUAAUGUUUUCCUGUCGUUUGCUGUGACUUCUACGAUCUAUUGCGGUUUUCUUAAUAUAUACUGUUUAUUCUAACUGUUAUGUGACGGAUGUAUGGUUUUGUCUGAAGACAAUUUCUGAACAUUCUUAUUAAACGUUCUGUGGUGCUAAGCUUUUUUCUUCAACACCAAGGGGCUGAAUCCCCUAUGGCACCCUAUUCCCUAUAUAGGGCACUACUUUGAUCACUACUAGAUCCCUGGUUAAAGGUUUUUGUAUGUUAACUAGACAAGUCAGUUAAGGAAAAAUUCUUAUUUUCAACGACGGCCUAGGAACAGCGGGUUAAACUGCCUUGUUCAGGGGGGGGGCAGAACGACAGAUUUUUGUUGUACCUUGUCAGCUCAGGGAUUUGAUUUUGCAACCUUUGCGGUUACUAGUCCAACGCUCUAACCACUGGGCUACCCUGCCGCCCCAAGGUAGUGCACUAUAUAGGCAAUAGGGUGCCAUAGGGCACAGAACCUUGGAGAUGGACCUCCAAGACUGCCUUAAAAUCUUACAACAAGUUACACGGUAGCAUGGCGGGACAUGAUUUUACCAUCGUCAGUAGUACAAUCCAACACCUCUGUCCCUUUAAACCCCACCAAAUACACACUGCCGCCUUACGAAAGCUUCUGCUGAACUGCAUCAGUGAAACUAUAGUAUCUAAUCUAGUUCUCUGGAUAAGAGCGUCUGCUAAAAUGUUUCAAACCCCUGUGAUGUGAUGAUCGUUGUACUGUUGUAAUUAUGUUUAUUCUCCUCUCUGCUAAUCUCAGUUUAGAGUGUCAGUGUAUGUUUUUUGUUGAAAGGAAACAUGAGGUGUGAUUACAGGUAAAUGAUGUUUUAUUGUCAAGGGCCUACUGUACUGAGUCUAUUCUGGGACCCAAAUGGCACUCUAUUCCCUAUAUAGUGGACUAUUACCUAAUCUGGAAAAUUUGACCUUAGGCAACACAGAGACUAGGGUCUGUUUUCAAUGAUAGACUUACGUCAAUUAAUGUCUACGUCAAUGGGGGGGGGACUUUUGACCAGAGCCCUACUGUGUUUGGCUAGUAAAUAAGUCUUGAAAACUUGACCCUAGGCAACACAGGGACUUGGGUCUGGCUUCAAUUAUGGAUUAUUUUGGCAUUGAGGAACUACAUCACUGGAGGGGGGGAUUUCUGGGGACCAAUCAAAUCACAAGGCUGACAUGAGUCUAGAGCGUCUCGAUUCGAAACCAAAGUUUGCAGCGGUUUUAUCGAAGGGUAGUUGAUGCAAACUAGCCACUUGUGAAAUGCACCCGUUAAAAAUAACCUACAAGUCCUCCAUCUUUGCUAGUUCUGAUUUAUAUUUUAGUCAAGAGUAGUGACGUAGGUAGUGACGUAGUGCCUCUAUGCUACGUAGGUAGUGACAUAGUUCCUCUAUGCUACGUAGGUAGUGACGUAGUUCCUCUAUGCUACGUAGGUAGUGACUUAGGUCCUCUAUGCUACGUAGGUAGUGACAUAGGUCCUCUAUGCUACGUAGGUAGUGACAUAGGUCCUCUAUGCUACGUAGGUAGUGACAUAGGUCCUCUAUGACUAAAGAGUCCAUCAUUGAAACCAAAACCUGGUUAUGGUGUUACCCAGGUUCGGGUUUUCAAGACUAUCUACUAGCCGUACAAAGUAUGGCUCUGGUCGAAAUAAUAACAACAUAUCGUCAAAAGUAAUGCACUAUUUAAUAAUAACAAUAUAUAUCAUUUAGCAGACUUUUUUAAAUAUUUUUUUUUAUAUCCAAAGCGACUUAGUUAUGUGUGCGUACAUUUUACAUUACGGGUGGUCCCGAGAAUGGAUCCCACUACCCACCAGGCAUUGCACUUCCUUUCCAACUGAGCUACAGAAAGGACCUAUAACUUCAUAGGAAUAUUCUAGACAUCUCCUACGGAACAGGGAAGCAUUUUGGGAGUCACAGUACUAGCCGAUGUGAGAUUACGAUGCCUGGAUACGAAAGACUUUCCGUGUGUUAAAUCUGAUUAUUAUUAAAAUAUCUUGGUGGUUUGACGAAACGUUAUACGAAA